RNAcentral lists this ribosomal RNA (851 nucleotides) under uncultured bacterium. Its description in RNAcentral is "bacterial SSU rRNA". It matches the Rfam family "Bacterial small subunit ribosomal RNA", at positions 49 to 897 of the family's 1533-position model. The record is from RNAcentral.
CGCUAUCUGCAGUCGAGGGGCAGCGCAGUGUAGCAAUACAUGGGCGGCGACCGGCAAACGGGUGCGGAACACGUACGCAACCUUCCUUCAAGCGGGGAAUAGCUUUCGGAAACGAAAAUUAAUACCCCAUAGCAAUGUCUGAGGGCAUCUGAGGACAUUUAAAGAUUUAUCACUUGAAGAUGGGCGUGCGCCUGAUUAGGUAGUUGGCGGGGUAACGGCCCACCAAGCCUACGAUCAGUAACUGGUGUGAGAGCACGACCAGUCACACGGGCACUGAGACACGGGCCCGACUCCUACGGGAGGCAGCAGUAAGGAAUAUUGGUCAAUGGACGCAAGUCUGAACCAGCCAUGCCGCGUGGAGGAUGAAGGUCCUCUGGAUUGUAAACUUCUUUUAUCGGAGAAGAAACCCCCGAGUUCUCUUGGGGUUGACGGUACCCGAUGAAUAAGCACCGGCUAACUCCGUGCCAGCAGCCGCGGUAAUACGGAGGGUGCAAGCGUUAUCCGGAUUCACUGGGUUUAAAGGGAGCGUAGGUGGGCUGGUAAGUCAGUGGUGAAAUCUCCGGGCUUAACUCGGAAACUGCCGUUGAUACUAUCAGUCUUGAAUGUUGUGGAGGUAAGCGGAAUAUGUCAUGUAGCGGUGAAAUGCUUAGAUAUGACAUAGAACACCGAUAGCGAAGGCAGCUUGCUACACAAUUAUUGACACUGAGGCUCGAAAGCGUGGGGAUCAAACAGGAUUAGAUACCCUGGUAGUCCACGCCCUAAACGAUGGAUACUCGACAUACGCGAUACACAGUGUGUGUCUGAGCGAAAGCAUUAAGUAUCCCACCUGGGAAGUACGACCGCAAGGUUGA